GGGAUUGCCUCAGUAACGGCGAGUGAAGCGGCAACAGCUCAAAUUUGAAAUCUGGCCCUUUUAGGGUCCGAGUUGUAAUUUGUAGAGAGUGUUUCGGGUGAGACCACGGUCUAAGUCCAUUGGAACAUGGCGUCAUAGAGGGUGAGAAUCCCGUAUGUGACUGUGGAUCGAGCCCAUGUGAAGCCUCUUCGACGAGUCGAGUUGUUUGGGAAUGCAGCUCAAAAUGGGUGGUAAAUUUCAUCUAAAGCUAAAUACUGGCUGGAGACCGAUAGCGCACAAGUAGAGUGAUCGAAAGAUGAAAAGCACUUUGGAAAGAGAGUCAAACAGUACGUGAAAUUGUUGAAAGGGAAGCGCUUGCAACCAGACCUGUCCGUAGGUGAUCAGCCGCUGUUCUCAGUGGUGCACUCGCUCUGCGAUCAGGCCAGCAUCGGUUCGGGCGGCCGGAUAAAGGCCUUGGGAAUGUAGCUUCCUCCGGGGAGUCUUAUAGCCCUCGGUGUAAUGCGGCCAGCCUGGACCGAGGACCGCGCUUCGGCUAGGAUGCUGGCGUAAUGGUUGUAAGCGACCCGUCUUGAAACACGGACCAAGGAGUCUAACAUCUAUGCGAGUGUUUGGGUGUCAAACCCAUGCGCGGAAUGAAAGUGAACGGAGGUGAGAACCCUUAAGGGCGCAUCAUCGACCGAUCCAGAUGUCUUCGGAUGGAUUUGAGUAUGAGCAUAGCUGUUGGGACCCGAAAGAUGGUGAACUAUGCCUGAAUAGGGUGAAGCCAGAGGAAACUCUGGUGGAGGCUCGCAGCGGUUCUGACGUGCAAAUCGAUCGUCAAAUUUGGGUAUAGGGGCGAAAGACUAAUCGAACCAUCUAGUAGCUGGUUCCUGCCGA
This 876-nucleotide ribosomal RNA is filed under the name Bryocaulon pseudosatoanum. RNAcentral's name for it is "eukaryotic LSU rRNA". It matches the Rfam family "Eukaryotic large subunit ribosomal RNA", at positions 71 to 964 of the family's 3401-position model. Lineage: Eukaryota; Fungi; Ascomycota; Lecanoromycetes; Lecanorales; Parmeliaceae. The record is from RNAcentral.